This 253-nucleotide ribosomal RNA is filed under the name uncultured bacterium. Its description in RNAcentral is "partial 16S ribosomal RNA". It matches the Rfam family "Bacterial small subunit ribosomal RNA", at positions 524 to 776 of the family's 1533-position model. The record is from RNAcentral.
UACAGAGGGUGCAAGCGUUAAUCGGAAUUACUGGGCGUAAAGCGUGCGUAGGCGGUUCAGCAAGUCGGGUGUGAAAUCCCUGGGCUUAACCCAGGAAUUGCAUUCGAUACUGGCAGACUAGAGUAUGGUAGAGGGUAGCGGAAUUCCCGGUGUAGCGGUGAAAUGCGUAGAGAUGGGGAAGAACACCAGUGGCGAAGGCGGCUACCUGGACCAAUACUGACGCUGAGGUGCGAAAGCGUGGGGAGCAAACAGG